Molecule: ribosomal RNA, 1355 nt
Filed under: Myroides odoratimimus
Lineage: Bacteria; Pseudomonadati; Bacteroidota; Flavobacteriia; Flavobacteriales; Flavobacteriaceae
Description: bacterial SSU rRNA
Rfam family: Bacterial small subunit ribosomal RNA
Source: RNAcentral
AGUCGUGGGGGAUAACCGCUUGCUUUUUUGAGACCGGCGCACGGGUGAGUAACGCGUAUGCAACCUACCUUAUACAGGGGAAUAGCCCGAAGAAAUUCGGAUUAAUGCUCCAUGGUUUAUCGAUAUGGCAUCGUAUUGAUAAUAAAGAUUUAUCGGUAUAAGAUGGGCAUGCGUAUCAUUAGCUAGUUGGUGUGGUAACGGCAUACCAAGGCAACGAUGAUUAGGGGUCCUGAGAGGGAGAUCCCCCACACUGGUACUGAGACACGGACCAGACUCCUACGGGAGGCAGCAGUGAGGAAUAUUGGUCAAUGGAGGCAACUCUGAACCAGCCAUGCCGCGUGCAGGAUGACGGUCCUAUGGAUUGUAAACUGCUUUUGUACAGGAAGAAACCUCCCUACGAGUAGGGACUUGACGGUACUGUAAGAAUAAGGAUCGGCUAACUCCGUGCCAGCAGCCGCGGUAAUACGGAGGAUCCGAGCGUUAUCCGGAAUUAUUGGGUUUAAAGGGUUCGUAGGCGGCUUUGUAAGUCAGUGGUGAAAUUUCCUAGCUUAACUAGGACACUGCCAUUGAUACUGCAGAGCUUGAAUAAUAUGGAAGUAACUAGAAUAUGUAGUGUAGCGGUGAAAUGCUUAGAUAUUACAUGGAAUACCAAUUGCGAAGGCAGGUUACUACGUAUUUAUUGACGCUGAUGAACGAAAGCGUGGGGAGCGAACAGGAUUAGAUACCCUGGUAGUCCACGCCGUAAACGAUGGAUACUAGCUGUUCGGUUUUCGGACUGAGUGGCUAAGCGAAAGUGAUAAGUAUCCCACCUGGGGAGUACGUUCGCAAGAAUGAAACUCAAAGGAAUUGACGGGGGCCCGCACAAGCGGUGGAGCAUGUGGUUUAAUUCGAUGAUACGCGAGGAACCUUACCAGGGCUUAAAUGUAGAUUGACAGAUUUGGAAACAGAUUUUUCUUCGGACAAUUUACAAGGUGCUGCAUGGUUGUCGUCAGCUCGUGCCGUGAGGUGUCAGGUUAAGUCCUAUAACGAGCGCAACCCCUAUUGUUAGUUACCAUCGCGUAGUGGCGGGGACUCUAGCAAGACUGCCGGUGCAAACCGUGAGGAAGGUGGGGAUGACGUCAAAUCAUCACGGCCCUUACGUCCUGGGCUACACACGUGCUACAAUGGCAAGUACAGAAAGCAGCUACCUGGCAACAGGAUGCGAAUCUCCAAAGCUUGUCUCAGUUCGGAUUGGAGUCUGCAACUCGACUCUAUGAAGCUGGAAUCGCUAGUAAUCGGAUAUCAGCCAUGAUCCGGUGAAUACGUUCCCGGGCCUUGUACACACCGCCCGUCAAGCCAUGGAAGCUGGGGGUACC